Molecule: ribosomal RNA, 440 nt
Filed under: uncultured bacterium
Lineage: Bacteria
Description: partial 16S ribosomal RNA
Rfam family: Bacterial small subunit ribosomal RNA
Source: RNAcentral
CCUACGGGGGACAGCAGUAGGGAAUAUUGCUCAAUGGGGGAAACCCUGAAGCAGCAACGCCGCGUGGAGGAUGAAGGUUUUCGGAUUGUAAACUCCUUUUGUUAGAGAAGAUAAUGACGGUAUCUAACGAAUAAGCACCGGCUAACUCCGUGCCAGCAGCCGCGGUAAUACGGAGGGUGCAAGCGUUAUUCGGAAUCACUGGGCGUAAAGCGCGCGUAGGCGGGAUAGCAAGUCAGAUGUGAAAUCCUAUGGCUUAACCAUAGAACUGCAGUUGAAACUGUUAUUCUAGAGUAUGGGAGAGGUAGGUGGAAUUCUUGGUGUAGGGGUAAAAUCCGUAGAGAUCAAGAGGAAUACUCAUUGCGAAGGCGACCUGCUAGAACAUCACUGACGCUGAUGCGCGAAAGCGUGGGGAGCAAACAGGAUUAGAUACCCGGGUAGUC